AACUGCUUAAGCGGCCAUUUUAUUAAUCUAACAUAAUCUUCUAGCAUCAAACACUGAACGAAACGGUAACAUAUCGACCAUGUCGAUUCGACCAUCGGAGAUACGAUUCGCACAAGGUUCCAUAGCCAACCAUUUCAAAACCGGAAUGACUUUAGUAGACUCGCUAAAGGACAUCUUGAGAAGCCCGUAUGGAAUCGGCGCUAAACUCCGCAGUCUGCCCAAGAUAGAAGUCAUGGAGUAUAACGGGUACUAUUACGCUAUCGAUGGCAACAGACAACUGUAUCUUUACCAAAAACUGGAGUCUGCCGGGUUGAUCACACAAGUCGAGGUUACGGUCCUGUCGUUUAACAUGGCGUCAUUCAUGAUGCGACACACCACUAAGUGCGAUGGUGUGUCUGUAACAGUGCGAGGCUCCCCAUAUAUGGAUCAAGAACUGGAUUUCGUCAUUAGAUCUUUUAGAUCAGUGCGCCGAUAAUUAGAUUACAGCGACCAGGCCAAAGACGACCCAGGUGCGACUGUCGAAUGUGAAUACAACUGAACAACUUAAAAACAGCAUGCCUAGAGGGUGGAGUUAAUCAUUCACUGGAUAUGACAAUAAGUGUGUGUAGUGCGUGCGUGUGCGUAUGCGCACGCGUGUAUGUUUGUGGUUGUUUCUUGUGAAAUUCGUAAAACAUCUUUAUUUAUAAUUCUACAAAACAUCUAAACAGCAUUUGAUUACUAAUGACGUUGUGAGCAUAAACAAAAACUGUGAUUUUAUUCAGUAUUUAGGGUCGAUUCUAAGCUUAUUUAUGAUUCCCAAAUAAUCUACGGAUGUGUUUAUUCUUGAUAUUCAAAAUGAUUUGUUUCUUCAAUAAAACGUUUUAUUAAAGAAA
Long non-coding RNA from Gigantopelta aegis, 872 nucleotides. RefSeq lists it as uncharacterized. The transcript has 2 exons. NCBI's taxonomy places the organism in Eukaryota, Metazoa, Mollusca, Gastropoda, Neomphalida, Peltospiridae. The record is from RefSeq and is a predicted model, not a curated record.